RNAcentral lists this transfer RNA (63 nucleotides) under Artemia franciscana. RNAcentral describes it as "tRNA-Glu". Lineage: Eukaryota; Metazoa; Arthropoda; Branchiopoda; Anostraca; Artemiidae. RNAcentral also lists the same sequence under 1 other name. The record is from RNAcentral.
AUUCGUGUAGUAUAUUUAAUACAGAGCAUUUUCAGUGCGCAGAUAGACAGUGUCUCUCGGAUA